This is a long non-coding RNA of Dromaius novaehollandiae (emu), 551 nucleotides long. RefSeq lists it as uncharacterized. NCBI's taxonomy places the organism in Eukaryota, Metazoa, Chordata, Aves, Casuariiformes, Dromaiidae. The record is from RefSeq and is a predicted model, not a curated record. The transcript is spliced from 3 exons.
GGAAUUCGCGUCCGUCCGUCCGUCUUUUAACCUAUCACGAGCUGCGCGAGGACACUGAACCCCACCACCCCCGGGCCGCAUCACCGCGCCGCCGCCGGUGUGUGCCUGCGCGCCCCCUGGCGGCGGUCGGCCCGCGCUCGGCGGGGCGGGGCCCCUCGGUGCGAGCACAAACUGGGCACCUGCGACUGAAAAAAAGCGAUUUUAACCGCAGCUCGGCGUCUCCCCCCAUUUAGAGGGCCAAGUAGCAGUUCAGCCAUUGUGUGCAAAAGCCUACAAGAAUAUAUGAUGCUGGCUGGCAAGGGAGUAUUGCUGCAGAACCAGCAAAGCAAAAUGGUUGCUGAAACAUCCAUUAUCCACCAAAGGACAAGCUAUUGAUACAUUUUUGUACCCAAAAGACAGCAAUAUAAUGAUACUAUUUCAGUUGAUUGUAUUAAAAUAUAUGUAAUUAUUCUGUCCAUGAAUGUUGAUUUUGGAAGAGUUUGUGCCUAAAUCUACAGCUUUCUGAAAUAUUUGAUACUUUGUUCUCCAAGUAAAAUUGUUUUAGCCACUUA